Molecule: ribosomal RNA, 834 nt
Filed under: Staphylococcaceae bacterium ACEMC 22-10
Lineage: Bacteria; Bacillati; Bacillota; Bacilli; Caryophanales; Staphylococcaceae
Description: bacterial SSU rRNA
Rfam family: Bacterial small subunit ribosomal RNA
Source: RNAcentral
UGCAAGUCGAGCGAACAGAUAAGGAGCUUGCUCCUUUGACGUUAGCGGCGGACGGGUGAGUAACACGUGGGUAACCUACCUAUAAGACUGGGAUAACUUCGGGAAACCGGAGCUAAUACCGGAUAACAUUUGGAACCGCAUGGUUCUAAAGUGAAAGAUGGUUUUGCUAUCACUUAUAGAUGGACCCGCGCCGUAUUAGCUAGUUGGUAAGGUAACGGCUUACCAAGGCGACGAUACGUAGCCGACCUGAGAGGGUGAUCGGCCACACUGGAACUGAGACACGGUCCAGACUCCUACGGGAGGCAGCAGUAGGGAAUCUUCCGCAAUGGGCGAAAGCCUGACGGAGCAACGCCGCGUGAGUGAUGAAGGGUUUCGGCUCGUAAAACUCUGUUAUUAGGGAAGAACAAACGUGUAAGUAACUGUGCACGUCUUGACGGUACCUAAUCAGAAAGCCACGGCUAACUACGUGCCAGCAGCCGCGGUAAUACGUAGGUGGCAAGCGUUAUCCGGAAUUAUUGGGCGUAAAGCGCGCGUAGGCGGUUUCUUAAGUCUGAUGUGAAAGCCCACGGCUCAACCGUGGAGGGUCAUUGGAAACUGGGAAACUUGAGUGCAGAAGAGGAAAGUGGAAUUCCAUGUGUAGCGGUGAAAUGCGCAGAGAUAUGGAGGAACACCAGUGGCGAAGGCGACUUUCUGGUCUGUAACUGACGCUGAUGUGCGAAAGCGUGGGGAUCAAACAGGAUUAGAUACCCUGGUAGUCCACGCCGUAAACGAUGAGUGCUAAGUGUUAGGGGGUUUCCGCCCCUUAGUGCUGCAGCUAACGCAUAAGCACUCCGC